Molecule: unclassified non-coding RNA, 706 nt
Filed under: Hevea brasiliensis (rubber tree)
Lineage: Eukaryota; Viridiplantae; Streptophyta; Magnoliopsida; Malpighiales; Euphorbiaceae
Source: RNAcentral
CACAAAGGACAUUUACACACGGAGUAAUCACAUCAGAGCCCAACCUAAAAAUGUUUUGGAAUUAGAGCAAUAACUGUUUAUGAAUCCAAUUUCUUGGGGUAUACUUGAGAACCACAACUUCUCAAUCCUAUGUUUUGUAAAACAAAGUUUGCUCCAGUCUAUGAAUUCAAACAGAAACUCUCAUAAACAUAAAACUCACAGGGGAAAACAUAGCACAGGAAUUUCCAGUGUAUAUCUAGAUCUACAAUUCUUCAACAUAUUCAGUGUUUGAAACCAUAUCCAUAGGUUUAAAAAAGGAAUUGGAUAGGCAAAGAAGGGUUUGCUAGAUGGUCAAGAAAACAUUAACCUGAAUUAAUUUAAUUUAGAAAACUAUAAAUGUCAACAUUAAGCCUUUCACAAAUUAUCAUAUGCAAUUAGAAGGGUGGAACGGAAAACUUCAAAGAUAUUUUAACCACAGGUUCAAGACUACUGAAUUCAAUGCAUUUUUAGAAAGUAUCCAUUUUUUGAAAGCUUUAAUAUUGUUUCGGCAAUGCUUUAUUGAAACUGAGUAAAGUUUUUAUUUUUUCUAUUCGACUAACCUUCCACUAUUUGGCUGUGACAUACCAGACCAAAAUGAUCCAUAUUGUAAUAACCACAAGUUACAAAAAAAGGUGACAUAUCAUAUAAAAAAAAUUUAAGGAAAAAUCUGCGGAAAACGUGAUGCAAG